GCAGACUCACUCUGUUCCUGGCUGCUGCCUUCAGCCUGGAACUUUUUCUGUCUGCUACAAUGACCUGCAGGAGCUGACGUUUCAAUGGCUUUUAAUUAAUAUUAUUUUAAUUUAAAAAGUCUGUCGUCGGCUCUCUGCUACAUUA
Molecule: small nucleolar RNA, 145 nt
Filed under: Cynoglossus semilaevis (tongue sole)
Lineage: Eukaryota; Metazoa; Chordata; Actinopteri; Pleuronectiformes; Cynoglossidae
Description: Small nucleolar RNA SNORA77 (ENSCSEG00000011598.1)
Rfam family: Small nucleolar RNA SNORA77
About the family: ACA63 (SNORA77) is a member of the H/ACA class of snoRNAs that guide the sites of modification of uridines to pseudouridines. This snoRNA was identified by computational screening and its expression in mouse experimentally verified by Northern blot and primer extension analysis.
Source: RNAcentral